AGACUCCUACGGGAGGCUGCAGUCGAGGAUCUUCGGCAAUGGGCGCAAGCCUGACCGAGCGACGCCGCGUGCGCGAUGAAGGCCUUCGGGUUGUAAAGCGCUGUCGAGGGGGAGGAAAGGGCAACCCUGACCUAUCCCUGGAGGAAGCACGGGCUAAGUUCGUGCCAGCAGCCGCGGUAAGACGAACCGUGCGAACGUUGUUCGGAAUCACUGGGCUUAAAGGGCGCGUAGGCGGAUCAUCAAGUCCGGGGUGAAAGCCCCCAGCUUAACUGGGGAAGUGCCUUGGAUACUGGUGAUCUGGAGGGAGAUAGGGGCAGUUGGAACUUCCGGUGGAGCGGUGAAAUGCGUUGAUAUCGGAAGGAACGCCGGUGGCGAAAGCGAACUGCUGGAUCUCUUCUGACGCUGAGGCGCGAAAGCCAGGGGAGCAAACGGGAUUAGAUACCCCGGUAGUCCUGGCCCUAAACGAUGGGUACUAGAUAGUAGACUGGACAUGGGUUUACUGUCGAAGCCAAAGUGCUAAGUACCCCGCCUGGGGAGUAUGGUCGCAAGGCUGAAACUCAAAGGAAUGACGG
Molecule: ribosomal RNA, 572 nt
Filed under: uncultured bacterium
Lineage: Bacteria
Description: bacterial SSU rRNA
Rfam family: Bacterial small subunit ribosomal RNA
Source: RNAcentral